AGAAUCAACGCUGGCGGCGUGCCUAACACAUGCAAGUCGAACGAGAACGGGUAGCAAUACCUUAGUAAAGUGGCGCACGGGUGAGUAACACGUGACUAACCUACCCUGGAGUGGGGGAUAACUGAGAGAAAUCUUAGCUAAUACCGCAUAACACCUACGGGUCAAAGGAGCAAUUCGCUUCAGGAGGGGGUCGCGGCAGAUUAGAUAGUUGGCGGGGUAAUGGCCCACCAAGUCAGUGAUCUGUA
This 245-nucleotide ribosomal RNA is filed under the name uncultured bacterium. Its description in RNAcentral is "partial small subunit ribosomal RNA". It matches the Rfam family "Bacterial small subunit ribosomal RNA", at positions 26 to 285 of the family's 1533-position model. The record is from RNAcentral.